CUUCUCUCCUCAGGGCCAGUUCCUUUAGCGCCCUCUCUGGUCGCGAAGCCCAGACUGAAACACUCAGACCAGAAGCACCUCUGAGUGUCUCCUAGAUGCUGAGCUUGGUGUGACCAGAUUCGCCCUACCCUCGUCUCCUCCACUGUCUCCACUGAGAGACUGUGUCUCUGAUCAAGGGCUUUCUGCCUGUGAAACACGAACCAGCUCUUAGUUCCAAAGGGAUAUAUGCUGCCACCAGGAGACACAACGAUGAUCUCAUUGAACUGGAAGUUAAGACUGACAACUAGCCACUGUGGGCUCCUCGUGCCUCUAAAUCAACAGGAUAAGAAGGAAAUCACUGUGCUGGAUGGGGUGACUUCUCCUGACUGCCUUACCAAGGAGAAAUUAGACCAUUAUUUCACAGUGAGGAAUGAAGGAUUGGGCCAUCGCAGUGACAUCUAGGAGGUCACACUGUCUGACCUGGA
This 464-nucleotide long non-coding RNA is filed under the name Equus asinus (donkey). RNAcentral's name for it is "lncRNA (ENSEASG00005028614.1)". Lineage: Eukaryota; Metazoa; Chordata; Mammalia; Perissodactyla; Equidae. The record is from RNAcentral.